GCGAUGUCUAAAAGCAGCCUAAUAUAUCUGAAAGUGGUGUCGUUUCAGAGUGGAAAACUAGAUUAGAUGAGCCAUAUAAUCGACUUCUGUGUAUAUUUCCUUGGCUUGUUCCCAGGCAGCUGUGCACAGGGUUGCUGCUUUAAGUCCUGUUAACCCUUCAAAAGUCUAGAUGCCAGCUGAAGAGCCAACCUUCUGAACACUCAUGCUGCUUAGAUCUUAUGUUACUUCGGACUUCACAAGUAAUUUCCCAAGAUACCCCCUAAAUAAUUCUUAUUUUUAUUCCCUGCUUCCUUUUCAGAUACAGACUGCGGCAUGACUCCGUUGAGCUCUCCUGUUCCGUUUUUGGCUGUGCAGGAGAAGCUGCUGUGCUCCUCGUCAUCAUUUUUUAAUUCAUCAGGAAAGCAUUGGGAGCCGCAAAAUCAGAGUUGUUGAAUGAUCCCAAAGGUACCUUGAACAAACUGAAGAUCUACAUCAUGAGCUGGUACACAGUGAUAGGAAGUAUAANUCAGAAACACCCAGAGGGUAAGUGAGCCUUUUAGAUCUAAACCCAAGUGGUGACUGGUGGAGCAGACAAGUGAGACAACUGAAAGGAAGUGGUCCAAAGAGUCAGCAAAUAUAGAUGCAACAGCUGUUCAAGCAUCAUGAAGUUGCAGUCUUACCCAAACUCACAUGAAAAUACUGGCNUAUCUAAAAUGUUGCUGAAUAUUCCACAUCAGUUAAUAGAAUUCGUCGAGAUCGUUAGUUGAUAUUUGAUCUCUCCUGUGCGUGCUUUUAUGUUUAUUUGUUUGUUUAUUAUUUCUACUUCUAACNUGCCCUAUACCAGAAGGUCUCAGGGCAGGUCAGAAUAAAAUCACAGUAAAAC
RNAcentral lists this long non-coding RNA (862 nucleotides) under Salvator merianae (Argentine black and white tegu). RNAcentral's name for it is "lncRNA (ENSSMRG00000014900.1)". Lineage: Eukaryota; Metazoa; Chordata; Lepidosauria; Squamata; Teiidae. The record is from RNAcentral.